GACGAACGCUGGCGGCGUGCUUAACACAUGCAAGUCGAACGGUGAAGCGCCUUCCUUUUUGGUGGGUGUGGAUGAGUGGCGAACGGGUGAGUAACACGUGAGUAACCUGCCCCCUUCUUCUGGAUAACCGCAUGAAAGUGUGGCUAAUACGGGAUAUUCUGGGUCUGUCGCAUGAUGGGUCUGGGAAAGAUAUUGUUUCGGUGGGGGAUGGGCUCGCGGCCUAUCAGCUUGUUGGUGGGGUGAUGGCCUACCAAGGCGGUGACGGGUAGCCGGCCUGAGAGGGUGGACGGUCACACUGGGACUGAGACACGGCCCAGACUCCGACGGGAGGCAGCAGUGGGGAGUAUUGCACAAUGGGCGCAAGCCUGAUGCAGCGACGCCGCGUGAGGGAUGGAGGCCUUCGGGUUGUGAACCUCUUUCGCCAGUGAAGCAGGCCUGCCUCGUUUGUGGGUGGGUUGACGGUAGCUGGAUAAGAAGCGCCGGCUAACUACGUG
Molecule: ribosomal RNA, 494 nt
Filed under: uncultured bacterium
Lineage: Bacteria
Description: partial 16S ribosomal RNA
Rfam family: Bacterial small subunit ribosomal RNA
Source: RNAcentral